Molecule: ribosomal RNA, 305 nt
Filed under: uncultured bacterium
Lineage: Bacteria
Description: bacterial SSU rRNA
Rfam family: Bacterial small subunit ribosomal RNA
Source: RNAcentral
CCCUACGGGAGGCAGCAGUGGGGAAUAUUGCACAAUGGGGGAAACCCUGAUGCAGCGACGCCGCGUGAAGGACGAAGUAUUUCGGUACGUAAACUUCUAUCAGCAGGGAAGAAAAUGACGGUACCUGACCAAGAAGCCCCGGCUAACUACGUGCCAGCAGCCGCGGUAAUACGUAGGGGGCAAGCGUUAUCCGGAUUUACUGGGUGUAAAGGGAGCGUAGACGGCAGCGCAAGUCUGGAGUGAAAUGCCGGGGCUCAACCCCGGAACUGCUUUGGAAACUGUGCAGCUAGAGUGCGGGAGAGGUA